ACUUGCGGCUGUCUCGUUCCAUGAAACUCACAAGUUAAACGGCCGAACUAGCACAAUUUAUGAGCACGAGCCAAGCUUGACUCGUUCAUACGAUCGAGUCAAACUCUCUUUAUUCGACUAGACCAUUUCGACCCCAAUUAUUGUAAACAACCUAAAACCCAACCUUGGGGUAAUUCACAAGUGCAUAACCCGGGCCCUUUUAAGUCUCGUUGAUAGAGCAACAGGACCCCAAGCGGCUAAGGGUUUCCCUUGACAUUGCUUUGCAGUGAUUUCUCCUCAACUUCUUCAUCACUAAACUUGGAAGGUAGUUUCAGAUUUAUUUGUGCAAACACGGGCUUUAUAUGUUAAUUGUGCACUCGAUCUAUCUGAUUGCUGUGAAUGAGUUAGUUUCAACGCAACCUCUAUCGAUCUAAGAUUCCGUCAUGCCUUGCAGCCAUUCUCAUCUUGUAGCUCCUUAGGAUUUAUUUAUUUAUUUUUGGAAAUUGUUGUUUCUUGAUGAUCACCUGUACAGUUUCUGGCUGAAUUAAUUAACUGAAUGAGGCACAUCUCCAUGCUAAUAUUGAGUCGUUUCGUCUAUUUGGGAAUGCCGAUUUAGGACCAGAUUGGUCAAAAUGUGUAUGUGUAAGCGCAAAUGUAUUUGACUUAUGAUCGUCUGUCAGGAUCUGGGUGAGAUAUGUUUUGGUUUUCAUGUCACAAUAGACGAUUGCAGAGAAACAGACUUGGUUGUAAAGAUAUGAGUCAUUAAGCUUCCGAAUUGAAGUAGCAUUGGUGAUAACCAGUGUUUAGGUUAUAAUUCUGAUCCUAGUUUAAAUUAGCGAGAGGCGUUCCAAAACGAAUAAUGUUUGGACCUAACAUGUAGAUAUUUCCAUCUACAUUGAGUUGGAUCUCACUCUUCAGCGUGUGCUGUGCUCAUGAUGUGUAUAUAUUUUUCAUUUCACCUUGUGCUAAAAUGAUCUCUUAUUUUUAUGCCCCCGUCUGGGGCUCCAUUUUUUCAAAAACUCAAUUUUUUUUAAAAUUCAUUUUCAUCCAUACAUUCUCUAUAAAAUUAUUUUACACAUAAAUCGAAAACUUUACCUUAUUUUUUAACCAUUCUCCGAAAAAUCACUAUGCCAAAAUAUGUUCAGAUAUAUCUGCUCUAAAGGAAUUACUACACAUGCUUGCACGUUUAAAUUGUUUCUCAUGGUUCAGUUUCUGUGAAUGUCAUAAAUAUCUUCACCUUCUGUGUAGUUAUUGUGAUAGAUAGUAUUGGCAUUUCUUUCACCGUCUCUUGUUCAUAAUGAUUAAACCCUCGUGCUAAAAUGGUGUCUUCUUCUCUUAAUUGUGCCAAUGCAAUUACUUGACAAGCUAGCUCUUAUUAGUUGCUUCUUCUAUCUGCAUGCUUUCUUGUUUAAAAAGGUGAGAUUUUGAGGCAUUGGGACUGGAAAGACAGUUUUUAGUAUUCACACUCUAUAUAAGGAUACAAUGUAGGAUAUUUUGGCAAGAUAAGAUAUUUAGAAAUGCCAGAGUAGGCACACAUUACCUAUGUAAUUUCUUCUUAGUUUGAUUGUUGUCUUGAGAACCCUUUUUAUUGCCCUUGAAAUCGACAUUAUACAUUCCUUAAUCUUUUGACCAUUGCUAUCUUACUUUCCACGUGCAAAUUCUCUACAUAAUCCUGAGAAAUGUCAUACUAUUAGCAUCAUUUCGUCUUUGUCUCCACUUCUAAUAUCCCUACACUUUCCCUACUUGACAUGGAGUUUGAUGAAUAUAAAGAUGACUUUCAAGCACUUAAAUAAUUUCCUAUAUUUGGACAAGCAUAGAAUUUGUAUAGAAAAUACUCCCGGGGAGACAGGGAGUCAUAGACUUCAAAAAACAUAACUAUGAUCUCAGUAAGUGGUUGUUGCCUGGAGAGUCAUUGGAUUCCUACUUAAAUAAAUGUGUGAUAAAUAGUGGACGAAAAGCAAUGGUUGCAGUCGCUUAACAACAAAAAGUUUUGUCUGUGUCUGACUUUUACAAACCAACAUUGAUUUACCAUGUAUACUAUAUUUCUUCUCUUUGUUGAUUAGCCACACCAGUAAAAAUCUUGUUCUGAUCUAUUUGACUAGCCAAUAAAUUGAGAAAGUUUGUUGUUUAUGCAGAUGAUUGACGACCAGGACUUGGGCUUCUUUGCCAAUUUUCUUGGCAUCUUUAUAUUUGUGCUGGUGAUUGCUUAUCAUUAUGUGAUGGCUGACCCAAAAUACGAGGGCAACUGAUGUGCUCCUUUUGGUUUCCAUCUGUACUACGAAGUUGAUAUUUUCCUUUUUGUUCUAGUUAUGACUUUCGAGGAUGGGAUAUAUAUUUGAUGUAGCAAGACUUUUCCUGUUACGGUGAAUUUAGUCUUUCUGAUUAUUCAUAAAUACUAUUGGAAGAUAGAACUUUGUUUCGGAAUUUAACUUGUUAUUUAUUUAUAUCAGUUUUUUACAAAUUUAUUCGGAUUUCAAGAGUAGAUGAGCUACAUUUGUGUAUGUUAAAAAUUAAAUCUUGUGUACGCCUAGUGACAAUGUGAAGUUACAGUUGUGAUCUAAACAAAUUAUCGUACUAUCCUUGCUGAAGUUGAAGUGGACAUGGUAGAAAAUCGUAACUGGACUAUUUUUACCAUGGC
This 2617-nucleotide long non-coding RNA is filed under the name Olea europaea subsp. europaea. Lineage: Eukaryota; Viridiplantae; Streptophyta; Magnoliopsida; Lamiales; Oleaceae. The record is from RNAcentral.